CUCGUAGGCGGCCAACUAAGUCCGACGUGAAAUCCCCAGGCUUAACCUGGGAACUGCGUCGGAUACUGGAUGGCUUGAAUCCGGGAGAGGGAUGCGGAAUUCCAGGUGUAGCGGUGAAAUGCGUAGAUAUCUGGAGGAACACCGGUGGCGAAGGCGGCAUCCUGGACCGGCAUUGACGCUGAUGAGCGAAAGCCAGGGAGCAAACG
Molecule: ribosomal RNA, 206 nt
Filed under: uncultured bacterium
Lineage: Bacteria
Description: partial 16S ribosomal RNA
Rfam family: Bacterial small subunit ribosomal RNA
Source: RNAcentral